RNAcentral lists this long non-coding RNA (599 nucleotides) under Olea europaea subsp. europaea. Lineage: Eukaryota; Viridiplantae; Streptophyta; Magnoliopsida; Lamiales; Oleaceae. The record is from RNAcentral.
GCCUCCUGAAGUGUUUGGGGGAACUCCCGGGUUCACUUGAUAUUACAUGUACAAACACGCUCAAUAUAAUCAUAUACCGCGAUUCUACUAUCAGUCUUAAUCCCAAUCACUCCCUCAAGAAUAGGACACAUGAAUAGAGUGAAUCCGUCAGAGAAUACCCCAUAAUGAGCUGACAAAACACUAUUAAUCAAUCAUCAAUUACCAGUCCAAAUCUAACAAGUAUAAUCAUGUGUCACCUCCACGGACUUCGUCAUACUCUACUUAUUCUUAUUUAACCGACCUAUUUGUACCCAACUACAUUCUAUUUCCUUGGGACCAAGGGCCUCUCGGCUGCUCCAUUUUUAUCUCAUCUUUUCAAAUCUAAAGGACAGGACCCAAGGGCUGGAAUGCGGAGGGAAGGGAGAGGGAGACACACUAUUGAGCCAUUUGAUUUGAAAGUUUAAGAUUUUAGAGGAUCACGGAUAUAUCAUUCAAAUUUUGUUUUCUAAGCACCUCCUCAGGUGUAGGCAAGGGUACAUUUUUCUUAACAAAACCUAUUACAUACACGAUUUUAUUAAAUGGAUGGCAACGAAAGUACAACUCAGAAUUUUUUGUUAACG